This 833-nucleotide ribosomal RNA is filed under the name uncultured archaeon. Its description in RNAcentral is "bacterial SSU rRNA". It matches the Rfam family "Archaeal small subunit ribosomal RNA", at positions 21 to 859 of the family's 1478-position model. The record is from RNAcentral.
AGGCCACUGCUAUCGGAGUUCGAUUAAGCCAUGCGAGUCGUGAGGGGUAAAGCCCUCGGCGGAGUGCUCAGUAACACGUGGACAACCUACCCAAGAGUCAGGGAUAACCCCGGGAAACUGGGGAUAAUACCUGAUAGGCCAUGACAUCUGGAAUCGAGUUGUGGUUUAAACGUAAGGCUCUUGGAUGGGUCUGCGGCGGAUUAGGUUGUUGCCGGUGUAACGUACCAGCAAGCCUGUAAUCCGUACGGGUUGUGGGAGCAAGAGCCCGGAGAUGGAUUCUGAGACACGAAUCCAGGCCCUACGGGGCGCAGCAGGCGCGAAAACUCUACAAUGCAGGCAACAGCGAUAGGGGAACAUCGAGUGGCAUCCACCAUGGAUGUCUGUCCAAUCGUCAAAAAAACGAUUGUCAGCAAGGGCCGGGCAAGACCGGUGCCAGCCGCCGCGGUAAUACCGGCGGCUCGAGUGGUGGCCGAUAUUAUUGAGUCUAAAGGGUCCGUAGCCGGCUUUGCAAGUCCUAUGGGAAAUCCAGCGGCUUAACCGUUGGGCUUUCAUGGGAUACUACAUUGCUUGGGACUGGGAGAGGUAGGAGGUACUCAGGGGGUAGGGGUGAAAUCCUGUAAUCCUUUGGGGACCACCGGUGGCGAAGGCGUCCUACCAGAACAGGUCCGACGGUGAGGGACGAAAGCUAGGGGCACGAACCGGAUUAGAUACCCGGGUAGUCCCAGCCGUAAACGAUGCUCGCUAGGUGUCAGCAUGGCGCGACCGUGUCUGGUGCCGCAGGAAAGCCGUGAAGCGAGCCACCUGGGAAGUACGGCCGCAAGGCUGAAACUUAA